AACGAACGCUGGCGGCAUGCCUAACACAUGCAAGUCGAACGAGACCUUCGGGUCUAGUGGCGCACGGGUGCGUAACGCGUGGGAACCUGCCCUUAGGUUCGGAAUAACUCCCCGAAAGGGGUGCUAAUACCGGAUAAUGUCUUCGGACCAAAGAUUUAUCGCCUUUGGAUGGGCCCGCGUUGGCUUAGCUAGUUGGUAGGGUAAAAGCCUACCAAGGCGACGAUCCAUAGCUGGUCUGAGAGGAUGAUCAGCCACACUGGGGCUGAGACACGGCCCAGACUCCUACGGGAGGCAGCAGUGGGGAAUAUUGGACAAUGGGCGAAAGCCUGAUCCAGCAAUGCCGCGUGAGUGAUGAAGGCCUUAGGGUUGUAAAGCUCUUUUACCCGGGAUGAUAAUGACAGUACCGGGAGAAUAAGCUCCGGCUAACUCCGUG
This 433-nucleotide ribosomal RNA is filed under the name uncultured bacterium. Its description in RNAcentral is "partial 16S ribosomal RNA". It matches the Rfam family "Bacterial small subunit ribosomal RNA", at positions 29 to 507 of the family's 1533-position model. The record is from RNAcentral.